CCUACGGGAGGCAGCAGUGAGGAAUAUUGGUCAAUGGACGAGAGUCUGAACCAGCCAAGUAGCGUGAAGGAUGACUGCCCUAUGGGUUGUAAACUUCUUUUAUAAAGGAAUAAAACGAGGCACGUGUGCCUUUUCGCCUUUACUUUAUGAAUUAGGAUCGGCUAACUCCGCGCCAGCCGCCGCGGUAAUACGGAGGAUACGAGCGUUAUCCGGAUGUAUUGGGUUUAAAGGGAGCGUAGAUGGGUUGUUAAGUCAGUUGUGAAAGUUUGCGGCUCAACCGUAAAAUUGCAAUUGAUACUGGCAGUCUUGAGUGCAGUUGAGGUAGGCGGAAUUCGUGGUGUAGCGGUGAAAUGCUUAGAGAUCACGAAGAACCCCGAUGGCGAAGGCAGCUUACUAAACUGUGACUGACAUUGAUGCGCGAAAGUGUGGGUAUCAAACAGGAUUAGAUACCCCAGUAGUC
RNAcentral lists this ribosomal RNA (460 nucleotides) under uncultured bacterium. Its description in RNAcentral is "partial 16S ribosomal RNA". It matches the Rfam family "Bacterial small subunit ribosomal RNA", at positions 338 to 795 of the family's 1533-position model. The record is from RNAcentral.